Molecule: ribosomal RNA, 172 nt
Filed under: uncultured bacterium
Lineage: Bacteria
Description: partial 16S ribosomal RNA
Rfam family: Bacterial small subunit ribosomal RNA
Source: RNAcentral
CCUACGGGAGGCAGCAGUAGGGAAUAUUGGGCAAUGGAGGCAACUCUGACCCAGCGACGCCGCGUGAAGGAUGAAGGUCUUCGGAUUGUAAACUUCUGAUCUUAGGGAGAAAGGAAAUGAUAGUACCUAAGGAGAAAGCCACGGCAAACUAUGUGCCAGCAGCCGCGGUAAU